This 534-nucleotide ribosomal RNA is filed under the name Thaliacea sp. UR6. RNAcentral describes it as "SSU rRNA". It matches the Rfam family "Eukaryotic small subunit ribosomal RNA", at positions 34 to 566 of the family's 1831-position model. Lineage: Eukaryota; Metazoa; Chordata; Thaliacea. The record is from RNAcentral.
GUCUCAAAGAUUAAGCCAUGCAAGUGUAAGUACGAGCUCUUGUACAGUGAAACUGCGAAUGGCUCAUUAAAUCAGUUAUGGUUCAUUUGAUUGUACGCUUUUACAUGGAUAACUGUGGCAAUUCUAGAGCUAAUACAUGCGUAAAGCGCUGACCUGACGGGAGGCGCGCAUUUAUCAGACCAAAACUAACCGGCUUUCGGGUCGUUACAAUGGUGACUCUGGAUAAGCUUGCGGAUCGCACGGCCUUGCGCUGGCGACAUCUCAUUAAAGCAACUGCCCUAUCAACUAUCGUCGGUACGGUAUCGGCCUACCGAGGUUGUAACGGGUGACGGAGAAUCAGGGUUCGAUUCCGGAGAGGGAGCCUGAGAAACGGCUACCACAUCCAAGGAAGGCAGCAGGCGCGCAAAUUACCCAUUCCCGGCUCGGGGAGGUAGUGACGAAAAAUAACAAUGCAGGCCUCGUACGAGGCCCUGCAAUUGGAAUGAGUACACUUUAAACUUUUUAACGAGUAUCCAUUGGAGGGCAAGUCUGGUG